AUGGAAAAUGAGCUCGACGCUUUCUCGGAAGAGCUUCAACGACGGCCAGAAGUAAGGAUCAUCAACACCUAUGCGCUCGUUUCCGCGUACGUCCGAAUUGUCCUGAAAACCAUCGGGGCCCUGAUGCUUUUGUGGGCCACCGUGGUCCUCCUCGGCGGUUUCGUCUCCGAUCUGACCAAGAGGGACUUUUGGUGUCUGACCAUCCUCUCAUUCCUGCAGGCCGCCGGGUUAGUGCUUAGUAUUCAGUUUCCUCUCGUAUGUAGCACUCCUUUGUACUCCCUUUCUAAACGCUCUUAUAUUAGUUUACAGAGGGAGUAUCUUUCUCCUUGA
Molecule: ribosomal RNA, 330 nt
Filed under: Triticum aestivum (bread wheat)
Lineage: Eukaryota; Viridiplantae; Streptophyta; Magnoliopsida; Poales; Poaceae
Description: partial small subunit ribosomal RNA
Source: RNAcentral